RNAcentral lists this transfer RNA (94 nucleotides) under Candidatus Bathyarchaeota archaeon. Its description in RNAcentral is "tRNA-Phe". It matches the Rfam family "tRNA". Rfam says of the family: Transfer RNA (tRNA) molecules are approximately 80 nucleotides in length. Their secondary structure includes four short double-helical elements and three loops (D, anti-codon, and T loops). Lineage: Archaea; Thermoproteati; Candidatus Bathyarchaeota. The record is from RNAcentral.
GCCGCGGUAGCUCAGCCUGACAUAGACUUGGGCUAUGGAGAGCGCCCGGCUGAAGACCGGGUUGUCGCCGGUUCAAACCCGGCCCGCGGCACCA